AGUGAACGCUGGCGGUAGGCCUAACACAUGCAAGUCGAACGGCAGCACAGUAAGAGCUUGCUCUUACGGGUGGCGAGUGGCGGACGGGUGAGGAAUACAUCGGAAUCUACUUUUUCGUGGGGGAUAACGUAGGGAAACUUACGCUAAUACCGCAUACGACCUACGGGUGAAAGCAGGGGAUCUUCGGACCUUGCGCGAUUGAAUGAGCCGAUGUCGGAUUAGCUAGUUGGCGGGGUAAAGGCCCACCAAGGCGACGAUCCGUAGCUGGUCUGAGAGGAUGAUCAGCCACACUGGAACUGAGACACGGUCCAGACUCCUACGGGAGGCAGCAGUGGGGUAUAUUGGACAAUGGGCGCAAGCCUGAUCCAGCCAUACCGCGUGGGUGAAGAAGGCCUUCGGGUUGUAAAGCCCUUUUGUUGGGAAAGAAAAGCAGCAGGUUAAUACCCCGCUGUUCUGACGGUACCCAAAGAAUAAGCACCGGCUAACUUCG
This 490-nucleotide ribosomal RNA is filed under the name uncultured bacterium. RNAcentral describes it as "partial 16S ribosomal RNA". It matches the Rfam family "Bacterial small subunit ribosomal RNA", at positions 29 to 505 of the family's 1533-position model. The record is from RNAcentral.